Triticum dicoccoides is the source of this 493-nucleotide long non-coding RNA. RefSeq lists it as uncharacterized. The record is from RefSeq and is a predicted model, not a curated record. NCBI's taxonomy places the organism in Eukaryota, Viridiplantae, Streptophyta, Magnoliopsida, Poales, Poaceae. The transcript is spliced from 2 exons.
CUCUGCGCGAAUAGUUCCUUCCCUAUAAAGCAAGCACGCGCAAAGACAUCGAGAAUAGCCGACAGAGAAGCUUCCCAUAAGUAGCAUGGAGCGUUCUUCUUCUUCUUCUUCUUCUUCUUCUUCUUCUUCUUUGCGGGCACGCGGCAGCGGCAUCGCCCUCCUGCUGGCUCUCCUACUCUGUUCCUUGGCGUGCUCGGCCGCGGUCCAAGUUUCUCUGGACGGAAACCGCGAGGGGCAACGACCUCUGGCGCCCUGGGCAUCAGGCGCGAGGUCGAAGUACUGCCCAGGCUGCAGCGAUGACGGCGCCACUCCGCCGCCACCGCUGUCUGCAACUACGUCGGCACUUGCGCCUCACCGCAAGACCCUGGGGGUUGCUGCGAGGAUCCUCCCUUCCACGAGAACCACCUAUACUAGAUGAUAUAUAUUGUUCUGUUGAUGAUGAUCAGAUGGCUAAGAGUCAAAGCAGAGAAAUCUGAGCAAAGCCUUUACGACC